AAUGAACGUUGGCGGCGUGGAUUAGGCAUGCAAGUCGUACGCUUUAUGUAGCAAUACAUGAAGAGUGGCGUAAGGGAGAGUAAUGCAUGGUUAGCUACCCUCGGGACUGGGAUAGCGGCGGGAAACUGCCGGUAAUACCAGAUGACAUCUUCGGAUCAAACGUGUAAAUCGGCCCGAGGAGGCGACCAUGUCCUAUCAGCUAGUUGGCGGUGUAACGGACCACCAAGGCAAGACGGGUAUGGGGCGU
RNAcentral lists this ribosomal RNA (247 nucleotides) under uncultured bacterium. RNAcentral describes it as "partial 16S ribosomal RNA". It matches the Rfam family "Bacterial small subunit ribosomal RNA", at positions 29 to 293 of the family's 1533-position model. The record is from RNAcentral.